AUGAUCGGGCCUCGCACGAGGAUUUGCUCACUUGAACACGGAAUUUGCACGAGUAUUGGGCCUUGCACGAGGACAAUCCCUGCACGAGGAUCAGGCCUUGCACGAGGACAAUCCUUGCACGAGGAUUUGGGCCUGGCACGAGGCCGGUGCUCACACCUGGGCACGCUCCCCGCUCGUGCCAGGCCAGCCCCGGGACUGAGCGUGAGUGUGAGCGUGAGUGUGAGCGUGAGUGUGAGUGUGAGCAGGGCUGGGGGCUCACACGGGGCUGUGCACGCUCGUGUGAGGCACGGGGAGGGGUCGGGGGCGUGCAAGGGGGGUUUGCACAAGGAUCGCCCCCAGCGCCGCGCGGGGCCGGCGUGCAAGGGCUGGGCUUUGCACGGGGACGGGCCUUGCACACUCGUGAGGGCACGGGGAUGCUCUUGCACACUCAUUAUUGCACAAGGAUGUUCUUGCACACUCGUGAGGACAUGGGGAUGUUCUUGCACACUCGUGAGGGCACAGGGACAGGCCUUGCACA
This 517-nucleotide long non-coding RNA is filed under the name Cyanistes caeruleus (blue tit). RNAcentral's name for it is "lncRNA (ENSCCEG00000002228.1)". The record is from RNAcentral. Lineage: Eukaryota; Metazoa; Chordata; Aves; Passeriformes; Paridae.